RNAcentral lists this long non-coding RNA (1133 nucleotides) under Homo sapiens (human). Its description in RNAcentral is "HSALNT0167712". Lineage: Eukaryota; Metazoa; Chordata; Mammalia; Primates; Hominidae. The record is from RNAcentral.
CGGCAACAAAAGCCUUAAUUGGCAAUCAAUGUGUGUAAAGCCAUUUAGGAAAGAAUGAGUGGGCUGCACGUGGCCACAGGCUGCUCCUACAGUGGGAUCACAGGGAACUUGCUCGAGAAUCUGAUGUUAGAGGAUGUUUUACAGCUCCUGUUCUCCCUGCUGGAAGGACAGCUACCUUUUCACAGAAUAGAUCCCUGCUCAGGAACCCACUGUGGGCCAAUCAACAGCUUCCCAAAACGAGUCAGGGAGUUCCAGAAGCUCCCAUUCCGGUGCCAGCUGAGAAUCCAUUUGGAUAAUAACGGAGUAAAAACUCUGGUUUGGAGAAAGUUUCUGUAAUGUUUUUCUUUUUCCUUUUUGGUGGAAGGGAGAAUAAAGGAGGAUAUUGCCUGGUAAGCAUGCAAAGAAAAAAAGUCACGCCAAUUUCACUAGAAUUGCCCAGAACCUCAACUCUGGUGAACUGCAGGUGACAACACUUCACACUGUUUACAUGAUUGGGGCUUCCCUGGAAACUGCGCUGACCCUGAGAUGAUUGAACAUUUAGAGUAAAACCCUUGAUGUAGUUCAUAAAAUUGGAUUCAAAUGAAAAGUUUAAUGUGGAGUCAUUCAAAAAUAACACUAAGAGCUCUUCCCUGAAUUCAAAAGAAAAAGGAAGGAAAACAUGUUAGUCUUAGCAGGAGCCAAGGCUGCAGGUGGGGGAAGAUGGAGAGGACAGUGUUUGGGUUUUAUUAUGUUUACUUUUCUCUUACGGAAGAAUAGAAGAUGGAUGACUUGAUGCCUGAGGUAAUUCAGUAUGUUUCACCAAUUUGGAGAUGGUCAUUUGUCCAUACUUAAGUCUCAGUAAUUAUGUUGAAAUAUUAUAAUUUCUGUAAGCUGGGAAGGUUACAAUGUGGUGGUUGUCAUUGCCCGGGCAUGCACAAACUUGGUCGUGAUUCCUGGUGGCAUGAUUAGACAGACAACUGCAACCCCUUGACACUUAAUUCCAGAAAUCAUUUAAGAAUCACUUGAAAAAGGAAUAUAUUAUUGUUCUCCUUCCAAUAACCAAGUGUCUUCUGAAAACCUUUCAUUGUCACUUUCUGGUAAUUGAACAAUGAGAACACAUGGACACAGGAAGGGGAACAUCACACACUGGGAAC